CGUGAUAUCCAGGCAACUUACCA
This 23-nucleotide non-coding RNA is filed under the name Arabidopsis thaliana (thale cress). Lineage: Eukaryota; Viridiplantae; Streptophyta; Magnoliopsida; Brassicales; Brassicaceae. The record is from RNAcentral.